This 1330-nucleotide long non-coding RNA is filed under the name Chloebia gouldiae (Gouldian finch). RNAcentral's name for it is "Erythrura gouldiae (Gouldian finch) lncRNA (ENSEGOG00005014858.1)". Lineage: Eukaryota; Metazoa; Chordata; Aves; Passeriformes; Passeridae. The record is from RNAcentral.
CGGGGAGCGGUGGCCGGUCACGUCCUGCUCGCGUGGCUGCCCCAGCAUCCCACGGCACCCGUGGGCAUCGCCCUGAUGUCCCUUUGUGUCCCCCCACUGUCCCCUGGAUUUUUGCCCGAUGUCCCCUCACAGACCCCUCGGUGUCCCCUCACAGUGUCCCCGUUGUCCCCUCACAGUCUCUGGGUUUUUUUGCCCCUGUCCCCACACGGUUCCCAGUGUCCCCAUAAAAUCCCCUCGUGUUUUCGUGCCCCGCGUGUCCCCACCCAGUCCCCUCGUAUUUGUGUCCCCACGCAGUCCCCCUGUGUCCCCAAAAACUUUUGGGUGUUCCCAGACAGCUCCCGGUGUCCCCACGCUGUCCCUGCACUGUCCCCACAAAAUUCCCCCGUUUCCCCGUGCAGUGCCCCAGUGUUUUCUCACAGUCCCCCCGUGUCCCCUCACGGUCCCCCGUGUCUUUGCAACUCCCCAGUGUCACUUCACUGUCCCCAGGGUCCACUCACAGUCCCCCGUGUCCUCUCACAGGCCCGUGUCCCCACGAGUCCCCUCACGGUCCCCCCGUGUCCCCUCAGUUUCUUUUCGUGUCCCUUCACAGUCCCCGGUGUCCCCUCAGUGUCCCCCCCUCGUUUUCACAGUCCCCCCGUGUCCCUUCACGGCCCCCCCGUGUCCCCUCACAGUCCCUGGUGUCCCCUCAGUGUCCCUCCCGUGAUUUCACGGUCCUCCCGUGUCCCUUCAUGGUCCCCGAUGUCCCCUCAAAGUCCCCGGUGUCCCCCCACAGUUCCCCCCGUGUCCCCUCACGGUUCCCCCGUGUUCUUUCACCCUCCCGGGUGUCCCCUCAGUGUCCCCGCCAUGUUUCCACAUUCCCCCCGUCUCCCCUCGAAGUCCCCGAUGUCCCCUCAGUGUCGCCCCGCGUUUUCACGGUCCUCCCGUGUCCCUUCACAGUUCCCGGUGUCCCCUCACGGUCCUCCCGUGUUUUCACAGUCCCCCCGUGUUCCCCUCACGGUCCCCCUUGUUUUCACGGUCCCCUCGUGUCCCCUCACGGUCCCCCCGUGUCCUUUCACCGUCCCCGGUGUCCUCUCAGUGUCCCUCCCGUGUUUUCACAAUCCCCCCAUGUCCCUUCACGGUGCCCGUGUCCCCUCACAGUCCCUCGUGUCCCCUCACGGUCCCCCGUGUCCUUUCACAGUCCCCCGUGUCUCCUCUCAGUCCCCCAUGUCCCCUCAGUGUCCCUCCCGUGAUUUCACGGUCCCCCCGUGUCCCCCCACGGUGCCCGUGUCCCCUCACGGCCCCCGGUGUCCCCUCAGUGUCCCCGCCGUGUUUCCCCAUUCCCCCGUGUCCC